GGAUAGCUCAGUUGGUUAGAGCAUGGUGCUGAUACCCCAAGGUUGCAGGUUCGAUCCCUGUAAGAAACA
Non-coding RNA from Podarcis lilfordi (Lilford's wall lizard), 69 nucleotides. The record is from the annotation of a GenBank genome assembly. Lineage: Eukaryota; Metazoa; Chordata; Lepidosauria; Squamata; Lacertidae.